Molecule: transfer RNA, 72 nt
Filed under: Beybienkoa kurandanensis
Lineage: Eukaryota; Metazoa; Arthropoda; Insecta; Blattodea; Blattellidae
Description: tRNA-Met
Source: RNAcentral
AGAAAAGUAAGCUAAGUAAGCUAAUGGGUUCAUACCCCAUAUAUAGAGUAAAGUAAGCCCCUCUCUUUUCUA